This 486-nucleotide ribosomal RNA is filed under the name uncultured bacterium. RNAcentral describes it as "partial 16S ribosomal RNA". It matches the Rfam family "Bacterial small subunit ribosomal RNA", at positions 30 to 507 of the family's 1533-position model. The record is from RNAcentral.
AUUGAACGCUGGCGGCAUGCCUUACACAUGCAAGUCGAACGGCAGCACGGGUGCUUGCACCUGGUGGCGAGUGGCGAACGGGUGAGUAAUACAUCGGAACAUGUCCUGUAGUGGGGGAUAGCCCGGCGAAAGCCGGAUUAAUACUGCAUACGAUCCACGGAUGAAAGCGGGGGACCUUCGGGCCUCGCGCUAUAGGGUUGGCCGAUGGCUGAUUAGCUAGUUGGUGGGGUAAAGGCCUACCAAGGCGACGAUCAGUAGCUGGUCUGAGAGGACGACCAGCCACACUGGGACUGAGACACGGCCCAGACUCCUACGGGAGGCAGCAGUGGGGAAUUUUGGACAAUGGGCGAAAGCCUGAUCCAGCAAUGCCGCGUGUGUGAAGAAGGCCUUCGGGUUGUAAAGCACUUUUGUCCGGAAAGAAAUCCUUGACUCUAAUACAGUCGGGGGAUGACGGUACCGGAAGAAUAAGCACCGGCUAACUACGUG